Molecule: long non-coding RNA, 808 nt
Filed under: Homo sapiens (human)
Lineage: Eukaryota; Metazoa; Chordata; Mammalia; Primates; Hominidae
Description: KCNMA1 antisense RNA 1 (KCNMA1-AS1)
Source: RNAcentral
ACUACUUUGUUGUUCUUCACAAUUAGUUGGAGCUUUCUUUGGUCAACAGCAGAUGUGACUAAGAAAAUCACGCUGUUUCACUUAGAGCAGUGGUCACCAAGUGUGGUCCUUAGGCCACACAGGUCAGCAUCACCUAGGAACUAGGAAAUGCAAGUUCUUAAGCAAUCCCACCCAGACCUACUGAAUUGGAAGUGCUGAGGAUGGGGUCCAGCAAUCUGUGGUUGAACAAGCUCUGCAGGCAUCCAGGAGCAGAGCUGUGGGGCAGCAGAAUCUGUGAUGACAGAGAAUGAUGAUGUAUUUUUGCCAGCAGAUGCUUUUGCUCCUGUUUUGAUACCCCAAUAUUCGGAUGCAGAAAAGGACUCUGAGCAUUGCUGACGGGUGUGCUCUGCACACCUAUCUCUUCAGGAUCUGAAUAAUUUGGUGGAAAGACAAUGCCUUUUCUGGAAAAGGGUGUCAGUCUCCACAAAGAACAAUGUUCUUCCCAACCUGCCAAGACAGCCAAAUAACAAAAGAAAUACCCGUGGAGCCCACCUGAAGUGCACAGAUCUGGGGACAUUGGGAGGAACAGAGGUAGCUUAGUGACUCUACUGUCCCUACCACCCAACCUGCUAUUAGCCCUGCUGGUCCGCUCGUGUUUGAGGUCAUGAGUCAGUCUACUUAAUAAAAUCAUCAGCUGGAGCUUACAAAGCAAUAGUGCUUAAUAGAUACAAGCAUGCUAAUAUAUUUUUUAAGUGAAUGCUGAUCUUUCUGAGCUGUGUGUCUAAAAUCAUCAUUGUGAAUAAAAGAAUUGUAAUUUCCAACCCAAAAA